AUGUUGCAUGCGUCAAGCACAUCGCCGCUGACCGCAACAGAGCAGUUGCGCCGCCACUCCGUGGCUGCUGGGUUUGUAGAAGCACCGUUGUUGCGGAAAACUUGUUGCAGGAAAACUGAGCUCGAGGAGGCGGAGCCAAUGGCUGUCUAUGCCGGUGCUCCCCGAGCAGCGGGACGACGAUGGACGCAGAUGCUGGUGCUCCGAGGAUGGCAAACGCGGCUCGAGAUCUUGUUUGAGAUGCGGCGGAGGAGGAACUUGGGCAGGAUGGAGGCAGGAGAAGAAGAGGAGGGGCAUGGCUGA
Molecule: ribosomal RNA, 300 nt
Filed under: Triticum aestivum (bread wheat)
Lineage: Eukaryota; Viridiplantae; Streptophyta; Magnoliopsida; Poales; Poaceae
Description: partial small subunit ribosomal RNA
Source: RNAcentral